RNAcentral lists this ribosomal RNA (116 nucleotides) under Escherichia coli. Lineage: Bacteria; Pseudomonadati; Pseudomonadota; Gammaproteobacteria; Enterobacterales; Enterobacteriaceae. The record is from RNAcentral. RNAcentral also lists the same sequence under 7 other names.
CCUGGCGGCAGUAGCGCGGUGGUCCCACCUGACCCCAUGCCGAACUCAGAAGUGAAACGCCGUAGCGCCGAUGGUAGUGUGGGGGCUCCCCAUGCGAGAGUAGGGAACUGCCAGGC